ACAAGGAAGGGCGUAGCAAGCGGCAAAAUGCUUCGGGGAGUUGAAAUAAGCAUAGAUCUGGAGAUUCCCAAAUAGGUCAACCUUUUGAACUACCUGCUGAAUCCAUGAGCAGGCAAGAGACAACCUGACAAACUGAAACAUCUUAGUAGCCAGAGGAAAAGAAAGGGUAAUA
Molecule: non-coding RNA, 172 nt
Organism: Triticum aestivum (bread wheat)
Lineage: Eukaryota; Viridiplantae; Streptophyta; Magnoliopsida; Poales; Poaceae
Source: Rfam